Molecule: long non-coding RNA, 323 nt
Filed under: Prunus persica (peach)
Lineage: Eukaryota; Viridiplantae; Streptophyta; Magnoliopsida; Rosales; Rosaceae
Description: long non-coding RNA (PPER_LNC006595)
Source: RNAcentral
AUAAACAUCGUCAUUAUCAUCAACAAGAAAACAUACCGUACAUAAUAUGUAAUAUACAAGAGAGAAAUACAUAUAGUACUUUCUUAUAUUGAAAAUUUGACAUAAAAUACGAGAGUGGUACAUUUUGUAUAGAAAUUUUUUUUACCUUUUAGACGUUGACCCCUGCAAGGAAAAUUCCUGGAUCCGCCACUUACUACCCUACAUUAAAAUUUUGCUGGAAGAGAUAGGAAAAUUCAUUAAAAUAAGAAUCCAUGUUAAUUAACAAUACUAUAUCCUAAAAAACAUAAAUAUGCUCCAUCUACUACAUUACAGAUGAACUAGUA